Molecule: ribosomal RNA, 380 nt
Filed under: uncultured eukaryote
Lineage: Eukaryota
Description: partial 18S ribosomal RNA
Rfam family: Eukaryotic small subunit ribosomal RNA
Source: RNAcentral
CAAUAGCGUAUAUUAAAGUUGUUGCGGUUAAAAAGCUCGUAGUUGGAUUUCUGCUGAGGAUGACCGGUCCGCCCUGUGGGUGUGCAUCUGGCUCAGCCUUGGCAUCUUCCUGAAGAACGUAGCUGCACUUGACUGUGUGGUGCGGUAUUUAGGACAUUUACUUUGAGGAAAUUAGAGUGUUUCAAGCAAGCGCACGCUUUGAAUACAUUAGCAUGGAAUAAUAAGAUAGGACCUUGGUUCUAUUUUGUUGGUUUCUAGAGCUGAGGUAAUGAUUGAUAGGGAUAGUUGGGGGCAUUCGUAUUUAACCGUCAGAGGUGAAAUUCUUGGAUUUGUUAAAGACGGACUACUGCGAAAGCAUUUGCCAAGGAUGUUUUCAUUGA